CGGAGCUGCCACAACCCAUCUUCCCACAACUCGGAACUUGGAAAAAGGAACCCAGGACACGACUUUGCUUUUCUUUUGGACCUAGUUGCAACUUUUAAAAGCCUUUCCACUGCACAGUGAAAGAAAACCACAAACUCCUUGUUUAAUAAGUGGGAUCAUGUGCUUUUAACAAGAGGAAAAGGUCAAUCUGAAGCAACUGAUAUGGAACUGCCAGAGUAGGAGUUGAAAAUCUUCCUAAACUGCUGGAGGAUACACCUCUGAUAGCUUGAGACAAAUAUCCUCUUGAUCAUUGUUUCACCAUAUUUGUCUUUGCUCAUGGAGAACCAUUUUGAUCCGUGGUUUAGCCUCCCAGGUGAUUGAACAAUACUGGUGAUCUGAGGCAGACCCUCUGUGACAGAUAACAGGAGUCCAUUCUCAAUUUUCUGUGCAAAUUGGGGAAGGCUGUUGAUAAUCGGUGGAUGCUAUAGUACCCAUGGAAAGACUCUAGUCUGAAGAUACCAGCCUCUCCCUCCCAAGAUCACCUCCCCUGACCAACCUUCUGCACUCCUGACAGAUACAAGGGAGCAGGCAAGUUGCACCCAACCUAACAGUAAAUUGCAGGGACAUUUCCAUUCUAAGGAAGGAAUUUUUGUGUGUGUUGCAACUCAGCUUCUGCUCUGGCAUUUUGCUGUGCAUUUAUAUUGCCAAUCAUGUUGGAGAGUCCAUGUGGUGAUUUCUGAAAAUGAGAUGUGAGAAAGAAGAGGAUAAUUUAAGUCUAGACCUACAGAUUGUGCUGAUAAAGUGACGAAGAACUACAAUCUUCUUAGUCAUU
This 811-nucleotide long non-coding RNA is filed under the name Pan troglodytes (chimpanzee). RNAcentral's name for it is "lincRNA". Lineage: Eukaryota; Metazoa; Chordata; Mammalia; Primates; Hominidae. The record is from RNAcentral.